GAAGCCAAGCUGACUUCAGCUGAGAAAGGGUUCACAGAUAACGUGUGUUUUGACUCCUUCAGGAACCUGGAAUGAGAACACAGAAUGCCAAGAAAGUUUCCAGGUUUUGGGUUUCUGUUUUGUUUUGUUUCACUUUUUACAAGUGAAUAGGACCAGACACAUUAUGCCUAGAGCUGGACUGGAACGUUUUUUUCUUCCUUGACAAAAAAAAGAGCCAAUAAUUAGAGCUUAAGUUAUUUGUCUUCAAAAUGCAAAGCAGUGAGAGAACGUGAACGGGAUAACUGAGUUGCUCCAUGGAGGAUGCCUGCCUGGUGUUGGACUCCUGAGCCCAUCUAGUGUGAGGAAAAAUAUAAACCUUGCCAGGGCUUACAAAUCAGGCUCUGACCUUGACCCUGGGACCUCUCUUGUUGUUAAGUUCCAUAGUUCUAUGUUUUCCUUUUUUCCCAUUCAUUCAUUCAACGAUUUUUUUUUUUUUUUUUUUUGGAUGUGUCAGUCAUUGUACUAAGAACUGGGGAUAUAAGUGAAAAAUCAGACAAACCCUCACCCUUAUGGAAUUCAGAACUUCUUACAAAUAAUCUCAAAACACAAAGACUUCCACUUUUUAUCAAUAUUCCAAUCAUUCAUUCAUUCAUCUUUCAGAUGAAAUGAUUUCCACAGUACCCUCAUGCCAAUUGGAUACGGGUAUUCCUGGCCCCAUUUCACCAUUGGUCAGACAGAGAACUAAUAAAUAUGAGAGAGAAGAUCAGCAUGGACAUUGCAACUUUGAAGGAAACACACACAGAAGUGGAAAGACCCAGAUCUCACUUCUCUAACAAGCUCCUCUAAUGGGCUGGAAGAAACUUGAAUGUACAGAUCUCCUGAUUUAAUACCAAGAAGAAAGUUGAGUUUUCAGACCUGACUGAAGAAGCACGUGGCAAGUUUGGAGAAAUGAUACUGGGAGGAUCCAGAUUAAGAAAAUGUCAAGAAGAACUGGAGAUGGAUGAUAGCUGUAGAACAAGGUGAAUGUACUUAAUGCCGUGGAACUGGACACUUAAAAACAGGCCAAAAUGACUUCACAUCUGGAGUUGCAGCAGCCAACUUGUGACCCUGAGAAACAAAAGUCACAUGCUACGGAUGGUGAACCAAGGAACAAGACAGAGUUGGGGUCCUUCAGGACAUCAUACAGUCACUGUACCAGUUCUGGUAUGUUCAUGUCCAAAUUUCUUCUUAUGGGGGAAAAAUGAUUUUAGUUAAACCACUGUCAGAUUCUUGUUAAGUGCAGGCA
Molecule: long non-coding RNA, 1264 nt
Organism: Mustela lutreola (European mink)
Lineage: Eukaryota; Metazoa; Chordata; Mammalia; Carnivora; Mustelidae
Exons: 3
Source: RefSeq, a predicted model, not a curated record